This 2247-nucleotide long non-coding RNA is filed under the name Bemisia tabaci. RNAcentral describes it as "lncRNA ENSSSA1NGG009072". The record is from RNAcentral. Lineage: Eukaryota; Metazoa; Arthropoda; Insecta; Hemiptera; Aleyrodidae.
AUGGACAGUUUCAAUGCCAAGAAAGAUAGAGCGAAGAAAAUGAAGAAAGACAAAGUCCACAGCAAAGCGCGCAAGAAGAAGGGAAGUGCAAAUGAAGUCAGCAAGAGCAGACCCAAUGAUACAGUUACAAAUACUAACAGGAGCACUAAAGUAGCAGAAGAAGAAGAAUCUAACUCUUCAGGUUCAGACAGUGAAGAAAAUGAAUCACAAAAAUACGCUCGAUCGAAAAUUGUUUCAAAUCAAUCGUAUUAUGAUAAAAGUUUACCAGAUGUUGAUCCAGAGCCUUGCGCAGCUAGUUUAGAAGAAUUGGCAGCAGCUGAUGAUGUGACAGGUGGCAUUUUCCAGUUUAAAGGGGAAGCUGAUUGGGCAUCCUGCCCGGAAAAUAUCAAUAAUCAAUAUUUUCACAUCGACCUAAAGCAACUUGCCUCGAAUCUUUCAGCCGUGCCUUUUUAUGAUCGUGUCAAUCUUUUUCAUGAUUUUUUUACGUCUGAUGAGAAACAAGAGAUGGACCUCAAGGCCGAACAACAGUUCAAACUCCACUCUCAGAAUCUUGGUUCAACAAAAAAUAUGAAAGAUUUGGAUCAACUGCUGUCCAGUGUCAAAAAGCAACAAAGUAAAGCAGUUGAAUCUCCAAAAACUGUUUCAGAGCCAGACUAUGACAAUGUUUCAGCUCUCACUGCCCAGUUCAAAAACGUCCGUUCUGAUUUAACUGAUCUUCUAUUCUCCAGUGAGGCUCAGUCAGUCUCAACACCCAAUCCAUCUGAAAAACCUCAGAUUCCAAAAGAAGAAACUAACUUAUCUGCCCAAGAAGAAACAGAGGAUCUCAAUGAAUGGCUGGACUCCAUUCUUGAUGAUUGAGGAAAUCUUCAUGCCUUUGAAGGGGGCCUCUCCCAAGUAUCAUCGUAACUCCUCAGUUGAUGCGGGACCAACUUUCUGAGUAUUGUGUGGCGAGAUUCAAUAAGAAGCUACUUUAACGCCAACAAAUUAUUAAUGCAGUAGCAGCUUGAGACAUGAAAGAAAGGUUAAAAUUGUUUUGCCAUGUACUUAUAAUUGAAUAACUGCUGAUUCAGGCUGUUCUUCAUUAUUUCUGCCAUUGACCAAAUUUUUUCGGAAAGAAAUUUGAAUUUUUUCUCUCUUUUGUGUCUUGCCAGUUAUAAAGACAACAGUAAGCCAGUUGUCUGAUUGUUAAAAUUUAUGCCAGUGCAUCAAGACGUCAAAAAUUGAUUUAUAACAUGACACAGGUAGUGGCAGGCAACCCAAUGAGGUUUUUAAAAAGCCUCCUUCUUUAAUUCAUUGCCAUGAAAUUCAUGAAAUAUCUUUUAAUAAUUACUUAGUUCAGAUUCCUAUUAUGUACCAAGAUGCAUAAAUUGUAAAAAAAGGUAUCGUUUUAUCCUAAGGACUCUUAAUUUGGAGAAAAGUAGCAAUUUAUUUGGUGACCCAUGGCUAAUUGGGCAAAUUUUAUACGAAGCAUGAAUAUUUUUAGAAUGGGGACUUUUCAUAAGCGGAAAGUAUCUCAUGUAAAUUACUUUUACAAAGAGACAAUGUAAAAAUUGGCUGAGAUUGCUGCAACUGUGCCGAUAUACUUUAUUCUACGACUGUGAUGAUUAUUUAUUAAAUUUCAAGUGGAAAAUAAUAAAAAUAUUUAUUUUUUAUUUGCGUUUAUUUUUAUAUCACCCUCUUUAAACCAUCCAGGAAACUUUGCAACAACGUAAACUUGAAGGAACUUUCCAAGAGGUCAUCAAACGAUCAAUGAUUCAAUGGAGGUUACCAAAUUUGAUUGACAUAACAGCAUUGUUCAAGUUUUAAGCAAAGUAGAUUGAUGAUUUAGAGGUUUGCUGAAGUGAUGGUGCUCAUUCCUCAUACAGGGUGUAUGUAAAGUCGUCAACUCCAACAACUUUAGAAUGCAUGCAAAACGAAAUUUUGAGGGUGUCCCUACAUCAAUAAGAGUUGCUUUUCGGCACACCAUUAAUUUUAAUGGGGCGUCCCCUUUUAGCAUCAUGCUAAAAAUAGAUUUAUGAACAAUGUGAUGAGGAAAUAAAAUACUUCAAAGUUGGCAAAUCCAUUACAAAAUAAUUUAUUAAACAAAGUACUUAAAAAUUAACAGGUUGAAAAAAUGAAAAAAAUAUUUAAACUUUAUGUUCGAAUGAAUUCUUACAUGAAUGAAGAGGCCGAAUGAAGAUUAUGAUUUAGAGGUCGAGCUUGAAGAUGGUUCAUCUUUUAUCAGUGGUUUGACUUCGCUCAAAGCCU